UGGGGAAUAUUGGACAAUGGGCGAAAGCCUGAUCCAGCCAUGCCGCGUGUGUGAAGAAGGUCUUCGGAUUGUAAAGCACUUUAAGUUGGGAGGAAGGGCAGUAAGCGAAUACCUUGCUGUUUUGACGUUACCGACAGAAGAAGCACCGGCUAACUCUGUGCCAGCAGCCGCGGUAAUACAGAGGGUGCAAGCGUUCAUAGGAAUUACUGGGCGUAAAGCGCGCGUAGGUGGUUCGUUAAGUUGAAUGUGAAAGCCCCGGGCUCAACCUGGGAACUGCAUCCAAAACUGGCGAGCUAGAGUAGGGCAGAGGGUGGUGGAAUUUCCUGUGUAGCGGUGAAAUGCGUAGAUAUAGGAAAGAACACCAGUGGCGAAGGCGACCACCUGGGCUCAUACUGACACUGAGGUGCGAACGCGUGGGGAGCAAACAGG
RNAcentral lists this ribosomal RNA (429 nucleotides) under Pseudomonadota bacterium. Its description in RNAcentral is "Proteobacteria bacterium partial 16S ribosomal RNA". It matches the Rfam family "Bacterial small subunit ribosomal RNA", at positions 355 to 776 of the family's 1533-position model. The record is from RNAcentral. Lineage: Bacteria; Pseudomonadati; Pseudomonadota.